GACGAACGCUGGCGGCGUGCUUAACACAUGCAAGUCGAACGGAAAGGCCCUGCUUUUGUGGGGUGCUCGUGUGGCGAACGGGUGUGUAACACGUGAGUAUCCUGCCCUUGACUUUGGGAUAUCUUCAGGAAACUGGGGCUAAUACCGGAUAGGAGCUCCUGCUGCAUGGUGGGGGUUGGAAAGUUUCGGCGGUGGGGGAUGGACUCGCGGCUUAUCCGCUGCUUGGUGUGGUAGUGGCUUACCAAGCCUUUGACGGGUAGCCGGCCUGAGAGGGGGACCGGCGACCAGGGGACUGCGAUACGGCGCAGACGGCUACGGGAGGCAGCAGGGGGGAGUAUGGCAGAAUGGGCGGACGCCUGUGGCGGCAACGCCGCGUGCGGGAUGACGGCCUUCGGGUUGUAAACCGCUGUGGCCUGUAAUGAGGCGUGCGUGACGGUAACGGGUAAAGAAGCACCGGCUAACUACGUG
RNAcentral lists this ribosomal RNA (468 nucleotides) under uncultured bacterium. RNAcentral describes it as "partial 16S ribosomal RNA". It matches the Rfam family "Bacterial small subunit ribosomal RNA", at positions 28 to 507 of the family's 1533-position model. The record is from RNAcentral.